CCUACGUGAGGCAGCAGUGAGGAAUAUCGGUCAAUGGGCGCGAGCCUGAACCAGCCAAGUAGCGUGAAGGAUGACUGCCCUACGGGUUGUAAACUUCUUUUAUAAAGGAAUAAAGUGAGGCACGUGUGCCUUUUUGUAUGUACUUUAUGAAUAAGGAUCGGCUAACUCCGUGCCAGCAGCCGCGGUAAUACGGAGGAUCCGAGCGUUAUCCGGAUUUAUUGGGUUUAAAGGGAGCGUAGAUGGGUUGUUAAGUCAGUUGUGAAAGUUUGCGGCUCAACCGUAAAAUUGCAAUUGAUACUGGCAGUCUUGAGUACAGUUGAGGUAGGCGGAAUUCGUGGUGUAGCGGUGAAAUGCUUAGAUAUCACGAAGAACUCCGAUUGCGAAGGCAGCUUACUAAACUGCCACUGACAUUGAUGCUCGAAAGUGUGGGUAUCAAACAGGAUUAGAUACCCUUGUAGUC
Molecule: ribosomal RNA, 460 nt
Filed under: uncultured bacterium
Lineage: Bacteria
Description: partial 16S ribosomal RNA
Rfam family: Bacterial small subunit ribosomal RNA
Source: RNAcentral